UUCAAAAGUUUGCUCAUCUGGAAAUCUCAAGAAAUCUCAUCUGGAGUGAUUUCGAAUAAAUUUAUGCAAGUCUUGCAAGUUCGUAUGGAGACAGACACGCAAGUCCACGUAAAGUCCAUCUUUCUGCGUUACCUGGAUACUACAAAGGAUCUGCAUUAGUUCCGGACAAUAGUUACACGGACAAAUAAGAUUUGACACGUGUGAAUAAUUGCAUUGUCAAUUUCAUCUCGGAAUAAGUUGGUUAUCGAGAUUCCGAUCGAGAGCUGGGUUUUGGACGAUUCGGACACCGAGUUGAUGAAGCUGGUCCCCUUGUUGGUCAAGCUGAAUUAAGACCUUCGCCCUCCUACAUUCGACAGUUCUAAGACGCAGACUUCUACUUUUAGAAGACGUAUGUGUUGGAAUUAGACUAUUCUCAUUUGUGUGUCAAAGUGAAGCAGCGAAUUCUUACCGUUUUAGUACAACCGAUUCUUUCAAUACGUAAUCAAUUGAACAACGAUGCUUUUAUUUGUAUUGGUUCUCUGCUAAUCAUUGGGUUUAGCCACAAGCAGCGAAUUGUAAACCAAGAAAUGCAAAAGAAGGCUUGGCUGGAUGCCCAAAUUCAACGUCACAAAUUUAUGAAUAGGAUAAGUUUUUGAAUUAUGGAAAUUUAUCUCAGUUUUUAAGCUUGUCUAGUUAGAAUUUUAGCUUGGAAAUAGUAACGUACAGAAAUUAAAGUUAACUUUUGCUAGCUAAUUAAAUGACAUGAAAUUUAUUAAGAUAAUUACUUUUGACUACAGAAUUUUCCCGAAAAACAAUUUUACACAAUAAUUCGUUUAUCAGGUCACAAAAAUC
This is a long non-coding RNA of Folsomia candida, 831 nucleotides long. RefSeq lists it as uncharacterized. The record is from RefSeq and is a predicted model, not a curated record. Lineage: Eukaryota; Metazoa; Arthropoda; Collembola; Entomobryomorpha; Isotomidae. The transcript has 4 exons.